AUAGAGAAAAAUACUCCCACCGUGGGCCCAGGUGGCCACGGAAGUCUAUAGGGGUGCUUAGAUACCAAGCGCAUUCAACCUCCCCACUUCUAGCCAGAGAUGGGAUCUCGUUACGCUGCUCAGCCUGACCUCAAACUCCUGGCCUCAAGCAAUCCUCUGGCCUCAGCCUCUCAAAUUGCUGGGAUUAUAAUCCUGAGCCACUGCACCAGGCCUAUUCAGAAUUCUAAUAUGCAACUGAUUCUUAAUGAUAACCAAGAAAUAAAGACUUAGAGCUCAAAUUGUGCCCCUGAGGCCUGCGAUUCUUGAGAACCGUGCUUCCUCCUCCCUUUCUUCCAUUUGGAAUUGCGUUAAGCACAGAGACCCGAGGAGCCCGGACACAGCACAGGAUGCUGGUGUAAGAAGCCAAACCCUGCGUCCAAACACAGGGACGCCUCACCAGCUGGUAGGGCUUCAGUGCACGCAGAGGAAGCCAAAGGACUGGCAAGGUGCACAGAUGAGGUGGGAGGACCAGAGCCCUCCAUCCCCAAACAGGGAGCACUCUACUGGCUCCACUCUACUAGACCAGCAGGGAGACGGAGGAAGCAUUUACUCCCUGGCUUCCUUCUAUGGACCACCCACUGGGCAUAACCUCCUCCCCUAAGGGUGGGGUGUGCAUGAGUGUGUUCCAAGUGCCAUCGCCCAGGCAGGUGCAAGGACAUGUGAAACUGGAGGCGAGAGCCUGGCAGGCUGUACCUGGUGUGGCUGAAAGGAGAUAGGGAAGGAUGCCAGGCAGUCCUUAAGGGGACCUGGGGAAGCUUCAUCUUCAACCCCAGACAAGGGUCAUUCACCUGAAAUGCCAGGACCAGGAAGUCCUGCCGGCUGCAGGCACAGCAUGUCCAACGUGAUUGGAAAUCACUUCCUGCUGUUCAUGUCCUCUUGGAAGGUCAGGUGGCCACUGCAACAAGACUUCUGCAUUCUGCCAAAUGAAUGACUGCACCUGACCCGUGACUCAUGACUCAACUAGUCCUGUGGACCCUGCCUUGAGGUGGACUCAGUGCACCAGGACCAUUUUCCACACCCCUACGAUUUCCUCCCCAGCCAAUCAGCAGCACUCAUUCCCUAGCCUGCUGUUCACCAAAUUAGCCAUGAAACCCCUACCUAGACUAGCCUCUGAGUUCUGAGAGAGGCUGAUUUGAGUAAUAAAGUAAUAAACUCCUGUUCUGCUUGGCUAGCCCUGUUUAUUAAACUUGUUCUCUA
Gorilla gorilla gorilla (western lowland gorilla) is the source of this 1236-nucleotide long non-coding RNA. RefSeq lists it as uncharacterized. Lineage: Eukaryota; Metazoa; Chordata; Mammalia; Primates; Hominidae. The transcript is spliced from 3 exons. The record is from RefSeq and is a predicted model, not a curated record.